ACGGAAUAGAUACCCGGGUAGUCCAUGCCGUAAACUAUGGAUACUAGCUGUUGGGGGUAUCGACCCCUCCAGUAGCGAAAGCUAAACGCGUUAAGUAUCCCGCCUGUGGAGUACGAUCGCAAGAUUAAAACAUAAAGGAAUUGACGGGGACCCGCACAAGCGGUGGAGCGUGUUCUUUAAUUCGAUGCUAAACGAAGAACCUUACCAGGGCUUGACAUCCCUUGAAUUACUCCGAAAGGAGUGAGUGCUUUAUUGAGCAAGGUGACAGGUGAUGCAUGGCCGUCGUCAGCUCGUGUCGUGAGAUGUUUGGUUAAGUCCAUCAACGAGCGCAACCCUUAUACUUAGUUGUAUUUUUCUAGGUAGACUGCCCCGGUAACGGGGAGGAAGGGGGGUA
This 394-nucleotide ribosomal RNA is filed under the name uncultured bacterium. Its description in RNAcentral is "bacterial SSU rRNA". It matches the Rfam family "Bacterial small subunit ribosomal RNA", at positions 773 to 1179 of the family's 1533-position model. The record is from RNAcentral.